Non-coding RNA from Mustela putorius furo (domestic ferret), 84 nucleotides. Lineage: Eukaryota; Metazoa; Chordata; Mammalia; Carnivora; Mustelidae. The record is from Rfam.
GCCUGAGUGGCUCAGUUGGUUAAGCAGCUGCCUUCGGCUCAGGUCAAGAUCCCAGCAUCCUGGGAUCAAGUCCCACCUCGGGCU